AAUGAUAGAGGCGCGAUUUUCAUCAGUAGCAGUGAUCUUCACGGAACAUGGCAGUUCCUUCACCGCCAAAGGGAAAACCGCCGAAGGGUCCUCACAGCCAGGAGGGCGGACCCUGGGACGGCACAGAACAUGUGCCGUACUGUCACAAAGUUGUGGAGCGCUAUCA
This 166-nucleotide non-coding RNA is filed under the name uncultured Blautia sp. RNAcentral describes it as "Lysine riboswitch". It matches the Rfam family "Lysine riboswitch aptamer". Rfam says of the family: Riboswitches are metabolite binding domains within certain messenger RNAs that serve as precision sensors for their corresponding targets. Allosteric rearrangement of mRNA structure is mediated by ligand binding, and this results in modulation of gene expression. This family includes riboswitches that sense lysine in a number of genes involved in lysine metabolism, including lysC. Lineage: Bacteria; Bacillati; Bacillota; Clostridia; Lachnospirales; Lachnospiraceae. The record is from RNAcentral.